AGCCGAUGAUGAUUUCCUUUUUUUCUGACACCUCGUAUGAACGCUGUAUGCUAGCGGAUGUUUCUACUUUGUUAUAUAAUCUGAGGCUC
Small nucleolar RNA from Triplophysa rosa, 89 nucleotides. RefSeq annotates it as small nucleolar RNA SNORD60. The record is from RefSeq and is a predicted model, not a curated record. The transcript has a single exon. NCBI's taxonomy places the organism in Eukaryota, Metazoa, Chordata, Actinopteri, Cypriniformes, Nemacheilidae.